This 468-nucleotide ribosomal RNA is filed under the name uncultured bacterium. RNAcentral describes it as "partial 16S ribosomal RNA". It matches the Rfam family "Bacterial small subunit ribosomal RNA", at positions 28 to 507 of the family's 1533-position model. The record is from RNAcentral.
GACGAACGCUGGCGGCGUGCUUAACACAUGCAAGUCGAACGGAAAGGCCCUGCUUUUGUGGGGUGCUCGAGUGGCGAACGGGUGAGUAACACGUGAGUAACCUGCCCUUGACUUUGGGAUAACUUCAGGAAACUGGGGCUAAUACCGGAUAGGAGCUCCUGCUGCAUGGUGGGGGUUGGAAAGUUUCGGCGGUUGGGGAUGGACUCGCGGCUUAUCAGCUUGUUGGUGGGGUAGUGGCUUACCAAGGCUUUGACGGGUAGCCGGCCUGAGAGGGUGGACGGCCACAUUGGGACUGAGAGACGGCGCAGACUGCUACAGGGGACAGCGGUGGGGAGUAUUGCACAGUGGGCGGAAGCCUGAUGCAGCAACGCCGCGUGCGGGAUGACGGCCUUCGGGUUGUAAACCGCUUUCGCCUGUGACGAAGCGUGAGUGACGGUAAUGGGUGAAGAAGCACCGGCUAACUACGUG